GCCAUGGGGAACAAUCAGCCUCACCCACCUAUGCAGGGCCCAAUAACCACAUUGCUCUUCUGCUUUCAGGUCCUCUAUUUCAUUCCUCUGAGGGCAUUUCUGUGCCAUUGACCUUCUCCCACAAGUCACAAGCCACUCACCCUCAAAUCAGAUACGACUUCCAAAACCUGGAGUAUAAAGAUCAAACAGUUGAGGAAGAUGGCAAAAUGAUGAGCAGCAGAGAAACGGCCUUUCUGAUACCUGGAUUCCAGAUGAUAGAAUAUAACAACGUGAGGAAGAGAAGGAGGAGGGAAGCAGGUCCUGGGAACCAGCAAGGAUCUGAAGAACAUUGGAGCCCACUGGAAGAGUGAAGACAGCAACC
Molecule: long non-coding RNA, 361 nt
Filed under: Fukomys damarensis (Damara mole-rat)
Lineage: Eukaryota; Metazoa; Chordata; Mammalia; Rodentia; Bathyergidae
Description: lncRNA (ENSFDAG00000025009.1)
Source: RNAcentral